Long non-coding RNA from Zonotrichia leucophrys gambelii, 513 nucleotides. RefSeq lists it as uncharacterized. The record is from RefSeq and is a predicted model, not a curated record. NCBI's taxonomy places the organism in Eukaryota, Metazoa, Chordata, Aves, Passeriformes, Passerellidae. The transcript is spliced from 3 exons.
GGCAGCCAGGGUAGCUGAGACCUCAGUCCUGCCCUGGAGCAUAGGCAAACAUGGCCCUGCAAUGGAUGCUUCUCCUGCUCCUCACACCUCUGCAGGCAGCACAAAAUCGUGGAAAAUGUAAAAUUCCCUCUGACUGGGAUCCCAAACUGCGGUUUACUCCGAGGAAGAGCGACUAUGCCUUGAACGAAGUGGUGCAGCUCAGCUGUGUUGCGAAGAAUCCUGAGAAGUUUGCGCCAUCUGUCCCACAGAUUGAAUGCAUUUCCAGAGGGGCCCAGAUCCAGUGGAAUGAGACUCCCACCUGCAAGGAGCGAUGCCAGCAGCCCCAGUGGGACUCACAGCUCCAGUUUAGGCCAAACCAGACAUUUUACAUGGCCAGUGAAGAGGUGACACUGAGCUGCUUUGAGAAUGACGCUCCUCCCCUUGCUGUGAUCAGAUGUGCAAACUGGAGGAAUGCUUGGCAGGUGUUGGACAUUUCAGGAAAAUGGCACAGGCAGGCUCAGAAACUGAGUUGCA